This 250-nucleotide ribosomal RNA is filed under the name uncultured bacterium. Its description in RNAcentral is "partial 16S ribosomal RNA". It matches the Rfam family "Bacterial small subunit ribosomal RNA", at positions 524 to 773 of the family's 1533-position model. The record is from RNAcentral.
UACGUAGGUGGCGAGCGUCGCCCGGAUUUACUGGGCGUAAAGGAUGCGUAGGCGGAUGUUUAAGUCAGAUGUGAAAAUCCCGAGCUUAACUUGGGAACUGCAUCCGAAACUGGCAGACUAGAGUCUUGUAGAGGGGGGUAGAAUUCCAGGUGUAGCGGUGAAAUGCGUAGAGAUCUGGAGGAACACCAGUGGCGAAGGCGGCCUACUGGGCUUUAACUGACGCUGAAGCACGAAAGCAUGGGUAGCAAAC